This 406-nucleotide ribosomal RNA is filed under the name uncultured bacterium. Its description in RNAcentral is "partial 16S ribosomal RNA". It matches the Rfam family "Bacterial small subunit ribosomal RNA", at positions 30 to 526 of the family's 1533-position model. The record is from RNAcentral.
AUUGAACGCUGGCGGCAGGCCUAACACAUGCAAGUCGAGCGAGCGGCGGACGGGUGCGUAAUGUCUGGGAAACUGCUCGCUAGCGGGGGAUAACUAAUGUAAAAGGUAGCUAAUACAGCAUACCAUCAGCUGUGCCCCGAUGGGAUUAACAGGUAUGUGUGGUAACUGCUCACCUAGGCGACGCCCCCUCGCUGGUCUGAGAGGAUGACCAGCCACUCUGGAACUGAGACACGGUCCCGACUCCUACGGAAGGCAGCGAUAGGGAAUAUUGCACAAUGGGCGCGAGCCUUAUGAAGUCAUGCCGCGUGUAUGAAGAAGGCCUUCGGGUUGGAAAGCACUUUCAGCGUGGAGGCGUUACCCGCAGAAGAAGCACCGGCUAACUCCGUGCCAGCAGCCGCGGUAGUAC